Molecule: long non-coding RNA, 2317 nt
Filed under: Mus musculus (house mouse)
Lineage: Eukaryota; Metazoa; Chordata; Mammalia; Rodentia; Muridae
Description: sperm motility kinase 4A
Source: RNAcentral
GAGUGUGUUGAGAGGAGUUGGUGGAGUUGGUGGAGUUUGGUGGAGUUGGUGGAGUAGGUGCUGCCCUUUGUGAUUUCCUUGUAUCUAGUGAGCUGUGUGUGGAUUUUGUGUUUGAUUGGUUUGUGUGUGAGCUUGUGUGUGUGUGUGUGUAGAUCAGUGUGUGCUUGGGAGGAGCUUGUGUGUGUGAGUUGUGUUUUAAGUUUAUUUGCGUCUCGUGAGUACCUUUGGGUUUGUGUGUGUGUGUCUGUGUGUGUUUGUGUGUGUAUAACUGUGGGUGACUGUUAAGAGCACCUGUGUGUUUGUACGUGAGUGUGUAAGACUGUGUGUGUGCACAAGAGCGUGUGUAGGUGCACAUGUUGUAGGUGUGAGAACACCUGUUGUGUUUAGGCCAUCAGUCAGCUUGGCCAUUGUUUCUAAGGUAGCAUUUAUACUUUGUUACCUCAAGUGGGCUCUGGGAGUCAAGAGAAAUCAGAAAAGCUCAGAUCCAAGCCCCCUUUCUCUGACAUGGAGAAAUUUCAUGCUCAAUAUGAAAUGCUAGAGACUAUCGGCCAGGGAGGCUGCGCCCAGGUGAAGCUGGCCCAGCACCGCCUCACAGGCACCCACGUGGCUGUCAAAGUGAUUGUAAAGAGGGAGUGUUGGUUCAACCCUGUCAUGUCUGAGGCAGAGUUACUGAUGAUGACCGAUCAUCCGAAUAUCAUCUCUCUCCUUCAAGUCAUCGAGACCAAGAAGAAAUUAUACCUCAUUAUGGAGUUGUGCGAGGGUAAAUCACUUUACCAACACAUCCAAAAUGCUGGCUACCUGCAGGAGGAUGAAGCAUGCCCAUUAUUCAAGCAGCUCUUAAGUGCUGUGAACUACUGCCACAACCAGGGUAUAGUUCACAGGGACCUGACACCUGACAAUAUUAUGGUAGAAAAAGAUGGGAAAGUGAAGAUCAUUGAUUUUGGACUCGGCACCCAAGAGAAGCCAGCGCAAAAACUCAACUUAUUCUGUGAGAAUUACCCAUUUAGUACCCCUGAGGUGCUCCUUAGCAGACCCUAUGAUAUGCGCAAGAUCGAUGUGUGGGGUCUUGGAGUUGUGCUGUAUUUUAUGGUAACUGGAAAGAUUCUGUUUGAUGCUGCCAGCAUAGAAAAGCUGCGAAAGCAAAUUGUUGCAGGAAAGUGUUCUGUUCCCUGUAGACUGUCAGUAGAGCUCCAAGACCUGAUUAGACUUUUAAUGACGGACAACCCCGAACUUAGGCCCACUGUUGCUGAAGUUAUGGUGCAUCCCUGGGUCACAGAAGGCUCAGGGGUGUUCCCAGAUCCUUGUGAAGAACAGAUAUCCCUCAAGCCAGACCCUGCGAUUGUAAAAGCAAUGGGAUAUAUCGGGUUCCGAGCUCAAGAAAUUGAAGAUUCGUUACGUCAGAGAAAAUUCAACGAAACCAUGGCAUCUUAUUGUCUACUGAAAAAACAGAUUCUUAAGGAAUGUGACAGGCCAAUCCGGGCUCAGCCCAUGAAUCCAUCGCUGACCCCAUUCCCUUCCCUUGUUGAUACUCCUACUUCCCAUCUCGGACUUCGGAGGAGAGAGACUGAACCCACAGGUCUCAGCUUAUCUGCCAAUAGGCAAGUGUCUGUCUGUGGCAAGAGUACUAGUAAGAAAAGAGACAGAAGUUUCAGUUGGCCCGGUGUUCUAGGCAGGCCGAUCCACACAACACCCACAAUGGACCAAACACACACCCGUACUAGGAGUGUUCCCUGCAUUUACUCAAAUUUUUGCACAAUCCAUCCAAACAGCAUCGAUGAGAGUACAGAAGGCCACACCAGUGCCUAAGCAGAGGAUAAGCCUGUCCGCAGCAGAGGCUGGCCCAGAGGCAUCAAGGGCUGGACUAGGAAGAUAGGAAAUGCGAUGAGGAAGCUCUGUUGCUGUAUCCCAUCAAAAGAGACAUCUCACCUGGGGCAGAGCAAAGUCUCCCCAAAAAAAUAAGACACAGGAAGGGUGUCAGGAGAAAGAGCAUCUGGCACGGCCCAGAAGAUCACCAGAGGAUGCCGGAUGCUAUGAUUCGACAGUUAUAAUAUUGGAAAGGACCCAUGUAUAGACAUUGUCCUGCAAAAGGGAACCUUGUGGAAAGGCAUCAUGUUCUGGGUUCAGCGUGCUUCACUCAGAGCCCCGGGUCCAGCCAGGGGGAAGAAAGCAAAUGAUGAAAUCCCAGAUGGCCUCAGGGAUCACCAUUCAGAGCAGGGGCUGAAAGCCUGUCUAAAGCUGGUAGAGACAGAAGGCCCUCUGCCUACCCAGUGUCAUAAUCAGACUCCUGCUCUGAGAAUAAAAUAGAUGUUUGUAAAAG